RNAcentral lists this unclassified non-coding RNA (361 nucleotides) under soil metagenome. RNAcentral's name for it is "partial contains 5.8S ribosomal RNA, internal transcribed spacer 2, and large subunit ribosomal RNA". The stretch from base 1 to 120 matches the Rfam family "5.8S ribosomal RNA", at positions 35 to 154 of the family's 154-position model. The record is from RNAcentral.
GAUGAAGAACGUAGCGAAAUGCGAUAAGUAAUGUGAAUUGCAGAAUUUAGUGAAUCAUCGAAUCUUUGAACGCAUAUUGCGCCCGCCAGCACUCUGGCGGGCAUGCCUGUUCGAGCGUCAUUUCAACCCUCAGGCCUCGCGUCUGGCGUUGGGGCGCUGCGGCCCUCCCGCAGGCCCCCAAAUUUAGCGGCGGAUUCCCCGCGGCCCUGAGCGCAGUAGAGAGUAAAAACUUUAACGCUCCGGCGGCCGUGGCGCGGUUCUGCCUCUUUCCCAAUAGCGCAAAUAGCGCCACCCCCAAAAAAGUUGACCUCGGAUCAGGUAGGACUACCCGCUGAACUUAAGCAUAUCAAUAAGCGGAGGA